RNAcentral lists this ribosomal RNA (120 nucleotides) under uncultured Bacillota bacterium. Its description in RNAcentral is "uncultured Firmicutes bacterium partial 16S ribosomal RNA". It matches the Rfam family "Bacterial small subunit ribosomal RNA", at positions 337 to 456 of the family's 1533-position model. The record is from RNAcentral. Lineage: Bacteria; Bacillati; Bacillota.
UCUUACGGGAGGCAGCAGUGGGGAAUUUUGCGCAAUGGGGGAAACCCUGAGGCAGCAACGCCGCGUGGAGGAUGAAGUCCCUUGGGACGUAAACUCCUUUCGACCCGGACGAUAAUGACG